Molecule: ribosomal RNA, 1245 nt
Filed under: metagenome
Description: bacterial LSU rRNA
Rfam family: Bacterial large subunit ribosomal RNA
Source: RNAcentral
UGAUGACGAGACGCUAAGGCGUUGAAGUGGUGUAUGUCAGACUUCCAAGAAAAGCUUGCGAUGUCAUAGAUAAAAAAUGCCUGUACCAUAACCGACACAGGUGGGUAGGUAGAGUAUACUAAGGGGCGCGAGAUAACUCUCUCUAAGGAACUCGGCAAAAUGACUCCGUAACUUCGGGAGAAGGAGCGCCUUAUUUAUAAGGUUGCAAUAACAAGAUCCAAGCAACUGUUUAUCAAAAACACAGGUCUCCGCUAAGUCGUAAGACGAUGUAUGGGGGCUGACGCCUGCCCAGUGCCAGAAGGUUAAAGAAGUUGGUUAGUGUAAGCGAAGCUGAUAACUGAAGCCCUGGUGAACGGCGGCCGUAACAACAGCGGUCCUAAGGUAGCGAAAUUCCUUGUCGGGUAAGUUCCGACCCGCACGAAAGGCGUAAUGAUUUGGAUACUGUCUCGGAGAGAGGCUCGGUGAAAUAGACUUGUCUGUGAAGAUGCGGACUACCUGCACCAGGACAGAAAGACCCUAUGAAGCUUUACUGUAACUUGAAAUUGGAAUUGGACUUUGCUUGCGCAGUAUAGGUGGGAAGCGUUGAAGAUACUCUUGCGGGACUAUUGGAGCUAUCAGUGAGAUACCACUCUUGUAAUGUUAGAUUUCUAACUUUGAACCAUAAUCUGGUCAAAGAACAGUUUCAGGCGGGCAGUUUGACUGGGGCGGUCGCCUCCUAAAUGGUAACGGAGGCGUACAAAGGUUUCCUCUGAACGGAUAGAAAUCGUAUCUAGAGUGUAAAGGCAUAAGGAAGCUUGACUGUGAGACCUACAAGUCGAGCAGGGACGAGAGUCGGUCUUAGUGAUCUGACGGUACUGAGUGGAAAGGCCGUCACUCAACGGAUAAAAGUUACUCUAGGGAUAACAGGCUGAUCUCCCCCAAGAGUUCACAUCGACGGGGAGGUUUGGCACCUCGAUGUCGGCUCAUCGCAUCCUGGGGCGGUAGUACGUCCCAAGGGUUGGGCUGUUCGCCCAUGAAAGCGGUACGCGAGCUGGGUUCAGAACGUCGUGAGACAGUUCGGUCCAUAUCCGGUGUAGGCGUUAGAAUAUUGAGAGGAGCCUUCUUUAGUACGAGAGGACCGAGAAGGACACACCGCUGGUGUACCAGUUAUCGUGCCAACGGUAAACGCUGGGUAGCUAUGUGUGGAGAGGAUAACCGCUGAAAGCAUCUAAGUGGGAAGCCCACCUCAAGAUGAGUAUUCUCAUC